RNAcentral lists this transfer RNA (77 nucleotides) under Streptomyces globosus. Its description in RNAcentral is "tRNA-Gly". It matches the Rfam family "tRNA". Rfam says of the family: Transfer RNA (tRNA) molecules are approximately 80 nucleotides in length. Their secondary structure includes four short double-helical elements and three loops (D, anti-codon, and T loops). RNAcentral also lists the same sequence under 1 other name. The record is from RNAcentral. Lineage: Bacteria; Bacillati; Actinomycetota; Actinomycetes; Kitasatosporales; Streptomycetaceae.
CGGCGUGUAGCUCAGCCAGUCAGAGCACCGGGCUUCCUACCCGGAGGGCGCAGGGGCAGGUCCUGCCACGCCGGCUA